RNAcentral lists this long non-coding RNA (6771 nucleotides) under Sus scrofa (pig). RNAcentral describes it as "lncRNA (ENSSSCG00035033536.1)". The record is from RNAcentral. Lineage: Eukaryota; Metazoa; Chordata; Mammalia; Artiodactyla; Suidae.
GUUAACCACUGCGCCACGACAGGAACUCCUGUUUUUAUUUAAUUAAUUUCAAAUUAGGUCUACUGACUCCUUGCUAUGAAACAGAAGGAUUUAGUUCACAAAUACUGUCUUCAAUCUGCUUUCUUCUGUCCUCAGUCCACUGGCAAUCAAUCCUUCUUUUUUUUUUUUUUUAUUUGGCUGUGACAGUGGCAUGCAAAAAUUCCCAGGUCAGGGAUCGAACUUGUCCCACAGCAUCGACAACUCUGGAUCCCUAACCUACACCACCAGGGAUCUCCACAAUCCAUCACAUUUAAGCACCUGAGAAGACACAAUUUGUUUUAUUCAGUUUUAAUGAAUUUAGUUUGCUAGAUGUGGCUAGUGGCUCUCAUAUUAGAUGAGCAGCUCUUAAUUAUUCCUACCUUUAGGAAUGCACAAGUUUUUUUUAUGAUCUAGUAUUACAACCAAUUUUUGUAUAUGUUCAAUAAGUUCUUGGAAGAAAGUUGUUAGAAGAAAGGCAGAGGCUAUUUUCAAGGAAGGGUUCAUUUUAUCCACCAAAUUUUGCUUAUUAAUUUGGGUAUUUACCCGUUCUACAGCUUUAAUUUUUUGUCCAUUUGAUACCCCAUGAUCUAAGAGCCCAAGUCAAGUCUACCAGUAAAGUUUUUCUCAAUAACUUUCCAGAAUCAUUUUUACUUUUUGAAUAUUAAUGCUCUACUACUUUUCACAUAUAUUUGAAAUUUCUUCUCUGUAAAUUAUAAACUUUACAAUCAAAAUACCCAUCUUUGUGUCAUUUAAUUCCACCUUGCCUUUUUAUUUUAUAGAUAGUUCUGUUAUUUUAAUAAUUUUUUAUUAAAAUAAUAUUUUCAUAAUAAUAUCCUAUGUAAUGAGGUUAGUCUUCCAUUUCUUCAUGUCACCUAUUAGUUCUCUACUAUAAGUUAUGCUAAGGUAAGCAUUCUCAUCACCAGAUUUCAACCAAAUACAUGAUCUUUUUUAUUGUUUACCUUUGAGCUGUUAGAUAUACUUCCAUUAUUACAUUUGCUGAUUUUAUUAAUACUACUGACUCUUAGUUACUACGACUCCUAGGAGGCAACUGGCAUACUUAGCACACUUACUCAAGCUCCCGUUUUCUUUCCCUUGUUUCCAUCUUAAAUUCUCAGUUGUCUCCUUAUUAGGGUACACAGCAGACUACGGCAUGCUCAAAUAUCAAGUUCUCACUGAAGACCUCUCUGUGCACGCAAUUCAAAACUGUAAAUCCCAAAGCCCAGACUCUAACCACUGCCACCCUGAUUUCUUUUCCUCCACAGUACUAAUGACCACCUAAUACACAUUCAACUCAAGAAUUUCUCAUCUGGUUUCUCCCAGUGAAUGGAAGCUCCCCAAGGGCAGGCCUUCUUUGCCUGCUUUGUUCACUUCUGAAACCCCAGCAACUAGAACAGCAUCUGGUACGCAGUGCAUGCUCACUAGGUACUUGCUGAAGGAAUAGGAUAGAGGCCACUACUAAAAGUGUAUUCAAAACCUAUAAAAGCAUCACUGAGAGAAAUGAGAGGCCUAAAUGAAUAUAAGAGUAUAUUAUGUGUAUGGAUCAAACGACCUGGUAAUGUUAAAAUGUCAAUUCUCCUUAAAAUGAUCUAUAGCUCCAAUAUGACCAAUCACAAUCCCAGCAGCCAUUUUAUACAAAAUGACAAGCUGAUUUUGAAAUUCAUAUGAAAUAAAAGGAAACUUAAAAAUUCAAAACAAUUUUGAUAAAGCAGAAAACUGGAAGACUUCCAAAACCAGACUUAAAGCUACAGCAAUCAAGACUUUAAGGUACUAAUAUAAAGACAGACGUACAGUUCACUAGAUAAAAUACAAAGUUCAAAAAAGGACCCACACAUGUAUGAUUUUUUUGUCAAAAGUGACAAGGUAAUUCAGUGGAGAAAGAAUAAUCUCUAAACAAAUGGUGCUAGAACAACUGUAUAUACAUAUAUGAAAAAAAAAUUUUUUAAGAAGCUCAACCCUUUCUUCAUACCACAUAUAAAAAUCAACUGAAAUGAAUCAUGAAUUUAAAUAUAAAAGCUACAAAUAUAAAACUUCUAUAAGAAAACAUGAAAGAAAAUCUUCAAAGGAGACAAACAGGAGUUCCGCCAUGGCUCAGUGGUAACAAACCCAACUAGUGUCCACGAAGAGCGGGUUUGAUCCCUGACCUCACAAAAGAAAAUAUUUGGAUGAGCAAUAAGCACACGUAAAUAACCUUAGUAUCAUCAGUCAUUAAGAAAAUUCAAAUUAAAGCCACAAUGAUAUAAUAUUACAUACCCACUAGACUGGCAGAAAUUCAAAACAAUGACAGUACCAAGUGUUAGCAAAUGAAAAUCUCAUUCAUUGCUGAAGGAAAUGUAAAGUGGUAAAACCACUUUAGAAAACAGUUCAUUAGAGUCUUAUAAAGUUAAACAUAUGAAUACCAUACAAUCCAACAAUUCCAUUCCUGCAUGUUUUCCCAAGUGAAGUGAAAACAUAUGUCUAAAAAUGUUUAGCAGCUUCGUUUACAAUAGCCGAAAACCAGAAGCAAUUAAAAAGUCCAACAACUAAUAGUUAUAAACAAAUUAUGCCAUAUUUCAUACAACAUAAAAGUAUUCAGCAAUAAAAAAGAAGCUACAGACAUAGAUGAAAAUCAAAAGCAUUAUACUAAGUGCAAACUAGACCUAGAAGACAAUAUACUGUAGUAUCUCCCUUAUACUAUAUUGUAUAAAAGGUAAAAUUCUAUUAACAAAAAUUAGAUUGGUAGUUGCCAGGGAGAGAGAAGUUUUCAAAGUGAUAGGAUUUUUUGUAUCUUUAUUGUAGUAGCGGUUACAAGAAUGCAUAUGUUUAUGAAAAUUCAACAUGCAUACUUUUACAUUAGAGGAAUUUUAACAUAUAUUAUACCUCAGUAUACUAGGUAUACUUUUACAUUAGAUGAAUUUUAACAUAUAUUAUACCUCAGUAUACUAGGUUUUAAAAAGUAUACUAGGUCUAAAACUAAAACCCAACUACCUAAAACCUUAAAGAAGAAUAAUUAAUACAAAGUAGCCCAGGAAAAGUGAGUAUUCUGUCAAAUUUUAAAAGCCCGUACAGAGUUGUCCACAUCCAGGCAGAAUGCAAUAGUCUGCAGCAGGCCAAUAUUCUUCUUGAAAACAGAAAAGCAAAAUAAAUUACAAAAGUCAUAUUUUUUCUUGGCCAUACCCACAGUACGUGGAAAUUCCAAAGCCAGGGAUCAAACCCAAGCCAUAACAGUGACAAUGCCAGAUCCUUAACCUGUAGCACCACAAGAGAACUCCACCAAUAUCCUAUUUCUAAAGGCAGCAGAAAGAUGUCAUGGUGCAAGAAGGUCUAAAACUCCAAAGAAGUGGGGAACAUUUUAAAGGUGUUUGGAUGACCUGCACUUAUCUUUUCCCUGAGGGUAUUUCCAAAUUAUGGGCCCAUGGUGAAAGCUGAAAACUAUCUGGCCUGUAGUACAAAACAUUGCUGCUACGGAACCAAAAAGCCAGGAGAGCUUUGGUGUCCACUAAGGCUGGAGUGACAAAAAUGGGAAACUGCAGGGACCUCAAGUUCAAGGCUACUACCUCUCGUGGGACAAUUACUUAAUUUUAAAACCGUGUAAGAUAGGAGGCAAAGUGAAAUUUCCCACUUUUGGCAUUGCUAAGAGGAUAAAGACCACUAAGCUUUGAAAUGAAAGUCCUAGAAAACCACACUCUUCAAAUACCAUAAAGAAGAAUACCACUAAACUACUCAAACAGCAACCCAGCCUCCAUGUAAAUUAAGGUGACUAGCUCCCUAUUCUAUCUGCCUAUAAGAAAAGAUAUACAACCUCAGGCAGAACAGAGUUGGUAAUGUUUGCUUCAUUUUGUUUUUCUAAAUCACAAUAUCUGGCAUUCAAUCAAAAAUUAGAAGACAUAAACAAAAACAAUCACCAGCUUGACCCGAUUAACAUUUAUAGAGCACUCCACCCAACAACAAAAUACACAUUCUUUUUAAGUGCACAUGGAGCAUUUACCAAGAUUGAUCCUACCUAGGUAAGACUGAUCUUACCUAGCCCAUAAUACAAAUCUCAAUCAAUUUAAAAGGCUCCAAGCCAUAAAAGUAUGUUCUUUCAUCACAACAGAAUUAACUUAAAAAUAAUAAAUCUCUGGAAAAUCCUCAAAUAUGUGGAAAUUAAAUGAUAUAAAUAAUUUAUAGACCAAAGAAGACACAAAAAGUAAAUUAAAAAGUAUUUUAAACUGAAAAUAUUUAUAUAUUAAAAUUUAUAAGGCAUAUUUAGAGGAAAACUUAUGUAGUACACAUACAAGAAGGGGAAAUGUCACAAAUUAAUGACACCAGCUUUUAUCUUAAUAAACUAGAAAAACAAACUAAACCCAAAGUAAGUUAAAGGAUUAAUAAAGAUCAGAGCAGAAAUAAGGAAAUAAAAAACAGAACCAGAGGAAAUCAGUUAAACCAAAAGAUGAUUCUUUGAGAGUCUUCAUUAAGAAAUCUCAAGCCAGACUAAUCAGGUAAAAAGAGAAAUGACACAAAUUACCAAUAUUAGGAAUGAUACGAAAUCUCUGCAGAUUAUACAGAUAUUAUACUCAAAAUAUAGUCUAUAGCUAUUUAAAAGAUAGUAAGAGAACAUUUAUAAAGAACUUUACUAAUUCAACAACUUAGAUGAAAUGGACAAGUUCCUUGAAAAAUCCAGCAAACAUGUUCAGUGACAGAACCACACAACCACAUGACCAAAAAACCAAUAGAAAAAAAUAAUAAAAGUAGACUAACAGAUGGUGCAGAUAUUGAAAUCAACAUUUAAAUAACUGUAAUCAAUAUGUUAAAGAAAAUUGGAAUUUAUUAAAAAUCUAUAAAGUAGGAUCAAAUGGAUGUGCUAGAAUUUAAAGUUACAAUGUAAAAUUAAGAACACAAUAGACUGGGAGUUCCACCAUGGGGCUAGUGAUUAAGACUCAGUGCUAUCACCACUGUGGUCAGGAUUCAUUCCCUGGUCUGGAAACUGAGAUCCCACAUCAAGCCACUGUAUGCCAUGGCAAAAAAAAAAAAAAAAAAAAAAAGAAGAAAGAAAGAAAGAAAAAGGAGAAAAAGCAAAUACAAUAGACACAAUAGAUUGACCUAGAGAAAAAGAUGAUAGUUUUGGUAUACUAUAAGAUGGGUAUAGGAAGAGAAACCCAAACUGAAGUAUAGACAGAAAAAAAAAAAAAAAAUGUAAGAGACCUGUGAAACAUAUGACAGGGUAUAAUAAAUGUUUCAAUUAGAAUCCUAAAAGAAGAGAGGGACAGAAGCAACAAUUGAAGAUGUAAUGACAGAGAACUUUCCAAAACUAGGGCUCCACGCUGUAGAUUCAAAAGCUCUAUGAACGUAAGGAAAAAUAAAGAAUAUCACACCUCACCACACCACAGUCAAACUGCUAAGAAACUAAGACAGGAGAGAAAGCCUUUGAGAAAAAUAAAAGACAUUAUCAAGACUAUAAGCUGUUACAUUACUUUAAAUAAGACUUUAACAGAAAGCCAGCAGACAAUGAAAUAGCUAGAGAUAGAAUUCCACAUGCAGUGAAAAUAUUAUUCAAAAAAGUUGAAAUUAAGGUAUUUUCAGAUGAACAAAAAUGGAAAAAUUCACUGUCAAUAGGUAGGCCAGUAUUAAAACACAUAUUACCAAAGGAAGCUACUCAGACAGAAGGAAAAUGAUUUGACAGAAACACAGAAAGGGGAGGAAGAACCCAGGAAAAGGUAAGUACUAACAAAAACUGAUUUUCCAAAACCAUACUAAUAAUGUCUUCUGGAGUUUAAAAUAUGUAUAAAUAAAAUGUAGGAUGUUAAUAACACAAAAAGAUUAUUGUAACAAGAGUUAAUGUGUAAGAAACUGUCAUUAAUGGGGAGUGGUAAAAUAAUUAUUUUGUAUUAUUUUUAUCAUAAGUAAUUUGUAUGCUUACUAUUACCUAUAGAAUGACCACAUAAGUAUAAAGAAAGAAUAUUUAACAAAUAGUAGGAAAAACAGAAAAAUAAUUAGAUUAAAACCAUACACAACAGGAGGGACAAAAAGGAAUGCAAAAGAGAUGACUCUAAGAGAAGUCAAAGCUGAUGGUGGUUACAAACUCAACUAUUAUCAGCAAAUAUGUUAAUGAACUGCAUAAAAACCAGUGUGAACUGCACAAGUCCACCUGUAUGUAGAUUUUGUCCAACAGUAAAUACUACAGUAAUACACAAUCUGGUGCUGACAAAACCUGAGGAACCUCAUAUACAGGAUCCGUGGAACACUAACUCUAAGCUAUACACAGAUUUUUCACUUUUUUAACUGAGUAGAGGUCAAUGCCCCUAACUGCCAUGUUGCUCAGGGAUCAACUGAAAACGUCAAAGUAAAAGACUAAGACUAGUUGAAAAUAAAGAAAAUCUGAAUUCACAAACAGAUAUCCAGAAAACAUGAUGAGAGGGGAAAAAAGUAGUUGAUAAAACUGCGUAUAAAACUGCAUAUAUUCCAUUUGCUAUAAAACUAUAACAUGUACACGUACAUAAACACACAGCCCAAAUACCUUAGAAAAUGCUGAAAAAAUAUAUUAUCCUUGAGAUAUUGGGCAAUUUUUUCAUCAUAGAUUUCCUUUGUAGUUUUUGGUACUUUAACUCUUUUCCAAGAAGCAAGACUCAUUUUUAUAAAAGCCACAAAACUAUUUUCAAAAGAAAAAAAAAAAUCAAAUCACAAAUUUUAAUAAUGAUCAGCCCUAACAAAGUAAAAGACUUUAAGAAAAAUAUAAGAAUGUUGGAGUUCCCGUCGUGGCGCAAAAAGGAGAAAACGCAAUGUCCACUUGUAUGAUGC